This 731-nucleotide long non-coding RNA is filed under the name Mytilus galloprovincialis (Mediterranean mussel). Lineage: Eukaryota; Metazoa; Mollusca; Bivalvia; Mytilida; Mytilidae. The record is from RNAcentral.
GUCUCUUAUGCUGGCUACGUAAAGGCUCUCUAGGAUCUGAGAAAAAGUUUCUGUGCCGGCGAGCGGAAAGGCAUAUGGAGCCAGAACGAUCCUUUUAUCUUUGAAAAGUGAAACACAAACGAUCUCGCUCGCCGGCACAUUUAUACUGGCCAUUUCUGCUGUCACAUGUAUCGAAGUCAAGAUCGCUUAAACGCUUUAAAUAAGGAGCGUACUUGUUAUUUAAAGCGCAAAAUAGAUUUGAGUAUAAGAAUACACAAAAACACGGCUGGAAAAACCCGGAAAAUACGGAUUUUCUACUGACAAACAAAAAAAGUUUGUGUUUGUUUUUGACACAAAUUGGCCGAAAACCUACCCGCACGCGGACGCAAAACAAAUAAAAAACAACUAUGGCCUAACAUCAUUUGAAAACAGACUACGAGUUACGAUAGAUGAAAAUCUAAAUCAAAUUUGUACUUCUUGCAAUGUUAAUCUCCUUUUUAUUUUGUGUUCGAUUAGUUCAAGAGAAAUCUGUAGCAAGCAUUACUGAAGACAAUAUGCAUAUGAGACCAUGUCCUGCUGUAAUGGUGCCACCACCGCCACCAGAUCCACCGAAUCCAAAUUAACAAUGAUUGAUAUUGUACUUGAAAUAAAAUUAGUAAUUUGGUGCAGCCGUCGUGAAUCUCCAUAGCUAUCAGCCUUGUUGAAUAAUUCAUUUAGUAAAAAUGGAAUACAAGUAGUUGUAUUGUAUAAGU